Molecule: non-coding RNA, 323 nt
Organism: Schizosaccharomyces pombe (fission yeast)
Lineage: Eukaryota; Fungi; Ascomycota; Schizosaccharomycetes; Schizosaccharomycetales; Schizosaccharomycetaceae
Source: the annotation of a GenBank genome assembly
GACAACUAACAACACGUUCGACUCAAUGCGAUCAUACAUUAAGUAAAUCGCGUCUGCUCCUCAAUUCUAGAUACAAAAAGCAAAGUAAGAUGGUUCAAAAAACGUAGAAGUAUUUUAUUAAAAGAAAGAUAAUAAUAAUAACAAUCAAUUUGGAGAUGGUAUUUAUGCAAUAUCUUCGAGUACACCAUUAGAACGAUAUAAGCUUAUUCAGUAGGAAAUUCAACAGAAAAAUAAAUAAUUUUGAAUAAUAGAUCACUUGGCAAACAAUCGAGAAAUAUUAACGUACUCGGAUUGUGGAUGCAAGAUAUCAAAGCGAAAAAGAA